Molecule: long non-coding RNA, 443 nt
Organism: Oncorhynchus kisutch (coho salmon)
Lineage: Eukaryota; Metazoa; Chordata; Actinopteri; Salmoniformes; Salmonidae
Exons: 3
Source: RefSeq, a predicted model, not a curated record
UGGCAGCGCCUGAGUGAAGGGCGACUCUGGCAGCGCCGGACUGGCGGGAGACUCUGGCAGGAGGAACUCUCUAACUACACAUUCAGGAACUUCUCCUUCUUUCGCUUGGAUACCUUUGUCUUGAAAGCAGCUUAAAUCCAAAGAAUGCCAGACUUUGAUGACAAAGUUUGAUGAGAACAUUUGCCCAAGAAGGACUGGGCACAGCACAAGACAAGACUGGGGACCCUUACAGCGCCUGUCCGGCGCUGCCGGAGGCGCCGCCGGAGUCUCCCUCCUAGUCCGCGGUCAGCGGCGAGGGUCGCCACUCCAGAGGCGCCACAGAAGUGGGCCAAGACUAAGGUGGAGUGGGGUCUGCGUCCCGCACAAGAGCCGACACCACGGUGAAAUGCCCACCCAGACCCUCACCUAUAGGUUCAUGUUUAGCAGCCGGAGUCCGCACCUUU